GCAGUCCGCCUGCUUCUCGCUCCAUCCUCCCUCUCCAACCGAGCGGCACGAGGUAGACCCGGAGACCCCAACUCCGUCCUAGCCCAGCGGCGCCCGUGAGGCGUCAUCUCCGGCGCCCUCUCCAUCUCCGUAUGCUUCGCACUUUGUAGGCAAUUCAAACUCGCGUUGGUGGCAAGGCUGGAUGGCCCUUCCAGUUGAUGGUUGACAACUUCAUUGUCAUUUUAGCAGAUUCCUGUUGGAGUUCUUACGGGAUGUGGUUGAAGCAUACAACAUCGAGGCAAUUAUGACCUUUCUGUUCUUGAAAGAUGGCGAGAAGGUUGACAACAUCUUCAGCGGCACUUGUUGUAGCAGUUAACUUUGUAUAUAUUCAGUUUAGAGCUGAGAGUUUCAGAUAUUGCCACCUCAGAUGUUCUGAAAUUUCUUGCGUUCUACAGUCACGUGUGUGAAGUUCGAAUUUGAUCGUGUUAUAAAAAACAUUGUAUGCCACUUAUUAUUCUCC
Long non-coding RNA from Lolium rigidum, 499 nucleotides. RefSeq lists it as uncharacterized. NCBI's taxonomy places the organism in Eukaryota, Viridiplantae, Streptophyta, Magnoliopsida, Poales, Poaceae. The transcript is spliced from 3 exons. The record is from RefSeq and is a predicted model, not a curated record.